CUGGAUUUCAAGGGAGAAAUACAGAUAUAUAGAUGACGAGUCUUAGGUAUCUACAUGAUAUUUAGAGAAAUGAAACUCUGGUGAGAUCACUAAAGGAAUAAUGGUCAGUAGAGAAAAGAGAAGGUUCAAGGGCCCUUCGUUGGUGCAGCCCUAAAUUUCUGGUAGUGUUUCUCAGCUUUGGCUGCAAGUAGAAUUACCAAGAGACCUUAAAAAGAAAUACUGAUGCCUGGGUCCCACUUCUAAAGGUUCAGUUUUAAUUGUGCUGGUCAAGGCACUCCCUGGGUGUCAUGGAAGUGAGAGUAUAUCACUUUUGCUAUAUUCUGUUCCUUAGGAGCAAGUCUCUAGGUCCAAUGCGUACUCAAGAGAAGGGGAUUGUACAAGGGCAUGAACAGCAGGAGGUGGGAUCAUUGAGGGCCUUCUUGAAAAGCAGUCUACAGAAGUACGUGCUCAUGAGUGUCGAUGCAAAAAUUGUACCGGACAACGUCGGAGAGGAUCAUGAACCCGCGAGGACCCGGCCUGGGUGGGACAUGACAAGUGGCGUCUCAACGCGGGGCUCAGUGAAAGGACAUGACAACAUACUACUGUAAUCCUAUUAGAAUGACUAAAAUCUAAGAUAAUACCAAGUGCUGGUGAGCAUCUGGAGCAAUAGGAGCUCUCAUUCAUUGCUAGUGGG
RNAcentral lists this long non-coding RNA (673 nucleotides) under Suricata suricatta (meerkat). RNAcentral describes it as "lncRNA (ENSSSUG00005003785.1)". The record is from RNAcentral. Lineage: Eukaryota; Metazoa; Chordata; Mammalia; Carnivora; Herpestidae.